GCGUCGAUGGUGCAACGGUUUAGGACAUGCUCCGAGAAACAGUGGGAUCUGGGUUCGAAUCCCAGCUGACGCA
Molecule: non-coding RNA, 73 nt
Organism: Parelaphostrongylus tenuis
Lineage: Eukaryota; Metazoa; Nematoda; Chromadorea; Rhabditida; Metastrongylidae
Source: the annotation of a GenBank genome assembly